UUGGAGCUACCCGGUGCGUCAGCGUCUUCAUCACGCUCUGGGCCUAAUGUGUUCCUACGGGAGCUGUCUCUGUCCGGGCCCUGGUCCGGGUAUCACGGCGCCCACCUGCUCGUCAGGCCCCAGGGACAUAGUCGAUGUCAACGGCCAGGGUGGCUCCGCU
This 160-nucleotide non-coding RNA is filed under the name Geminicoccaceae bacterium. RNAcentral's name for it is "6S RNA". It matches the Rfam family "6S / SsrS RNA". From Rfam's summary of the family: E. coli 6S RNA was the first non coding RNA to be sequenced, but its function was unknown until recently. It consists of 184 nucleotides that fold into an extended hairpin structure with a large single-stranded internal bulge. The 6S RNA specifically associates with RNA polymerase holoenzyme containing the sigma70 specificity factor. The record is from RNAcentral. Lineage: Bacteria; Pseudomonadati; Pseudomonadota; Alphaproteobacteria; Geminicoccales; Geminicoccaceae.